AUUUUGAACUGCAUGGUUCGAAAUUGAAAGGCGGCUUCGGCUGUCACUUAUGGAUGGACCCGCGUCGCAUUAGCUAGUUGGUGAGGUAACGGCUCACCAAGGCAACGAUGCGUAGCCGACCUGAGAGGGUGAUCGGCCACACUGGGACUGAGACACGGCCCAGACUCCUACGGGAGGCAGCAGUAGGGAAUCUUCCGCAAUGGACGAAAGUCUGACGGAGCAACGCCGCGUGAGUGAUGAAGGCUUUCGGGUCGUAAAACUCUGUUGUUAGGGAAGAACAAGUGCUAGUUGAAUAAGCUGGCACCUUGACGGUACCUAACCAGAAAGCCACGGCUAACUACGUGCCAGCAGCCGCGGUAAUACGUAGGUGGCAAGCGUUAUCCGGAAUUAUUGGGCGUAAAGCGCGCGC
RNAcentral lists this ribosomal RNA (409 nucleotides) under Bacillaceae bacterium PVB6R4. RNAcentral describes it as "bacterial SSU rRNA". It matches the Rfam family "Bacterial small subunit ribosomal RNA", at positions 173 to 572 of the family's 1533-position model. The record is from RNAcentral. Lineage: Bacteria; Bacillati; Bacillota; Bacilli; Caryophanales; Bacillaceae.